Molecule: long non-coding RNA, 2103 nt
Filed under: Cucumis sativus (cucumber)
Lineage: Eukaryota; Viridiplantae; Streptophyta; Magnoliopsida; Cucurbitales; Cucurbitaceae
Description: long non-coding RNA (CSAT_LNC002570)
Source: RNAcentral
GUUUCUUUGAUCUUGUGCAACCUAUUUGGACCGAUGAUAGCCCGCGGAUAGGUGUGGAAACCCAUCUAUAUUGCACCCAGUAUGACACAGAAAAAAAGCCCAGGGCCUAGGGGUCGGGUGGGGCUCGUUCGGGGUGCACAACGGUUGCGCCAAAAACGGUCCAAAAAUGGCCAAGGCUUUACCAUACGAAAAAUCGGCCGAUUUUUAACCAUGUGAGAAACGUCCCGAAAAUUCACAGAUAACUACUAGGAGGCCUCACUCUGAGUAAUAUCAAAGUUUUUUCCCACAAAACCGCUCGGAGAUGCCCAACUCAGUUUUUAUUUUCGUCCCAAUACUUUUCUUCCAAUGGACUAGUUGUGUUUCUUUGAUCUUGUGCAACCUAUUUAGGCCGAUGAUAGCCGCGGAUAGGGUGGAAACCCAUCUAUAUUGCACCCAGUACGACACAGAAAAAAAGCCCAGGGCCUAGGGGUCGGGUGGGGCUCGUUCGGGGUGCACAACGGUUGCGCCAAAAACGGUCCAAAAAUGGCCAAGGCUUUACCAUACGAAAAAUCGGCCGAUUUUUAACCAUGUGAGAAACGUCCCGAAAAUUCACAGAUAACUACUAGGAGGCCUCACUCUGAGUAAUAUCAAAGUUUUUUCCCACAAGAACCGCUCGGAGAUGCCCGGACUCAGUUUUUAUUUUCGUCCCAAUACUUUUCUUCCAAUGGACUAGUUGUGUUUCUUUGAUCUUGUGCAACCUCUUUAGGCCGAUGAUAGCCCGCGGAUAGGUGUGGAAACCCAUCUAUAUUGCACCCAGUACGACACAGAAAAAAAGCCCAGGGCCUAGGGGUCGGGUGGGGCUCGUUCGGGGUGCACAACGGUUGCGCCAAAAACGGUCCAAAAAUGGCCAAGGCUUUACCAUACGAAAAAUCGGCCGAUUUUUAACCAUGUGAGAAACGUCCCGAAAAUUCACAGAUAACUACUAGGAGGCCUCACUCUGAGUAAUAUCAAAGUUUUUUCCCACAAGAACCGCUCGGAGAUGCCCGGACUCAGUUUUUAUUUUCGUCCCAAUACUUUUCUUCCAAUGGACUAGUUGUGUUUCUUUGAUCUUGUGCAACCUCUUUAGGCCGAUGAUAGCCCGCGGAUAGGUGUGGAAACCCAUCUAUAUUGCACCCAGUACGACACAGAAAAAAAGCCCAGGGCCUAGGGGUCGGGUGGGGCUCGUUCGGGGUGCACAACGGUUGCGCCAAAAACGGUCCAAAAAUGGCCAAGGCUUUACCAUACGAAAAAUCGGCCGAUUUUUAACCAUGUGAGAAACGUCCCGAAAAUUCACAGAUAACUACUAGGAGGCCUCACUCUGAGUAAUAUCAAAGUUUUUUCCCACAAGAACCGCUCGGAGAUGCCCAGCUCAGUUUUUAUUUUCGUCCCAAUACUUUUCUUCCAUGGACUAGUUGUGUUUCUUUGAUCUUGUGCAACCUAUUUAGGCCGAUGAUAGCCCGCGGAUAGGUGUGGAAACCCAUCUAUAUUGCACCCAGUAUGACACAGAAAAAAAGCCCAGGGCCUAGGGGUCGGGUGGGGCUCGUUCGGGGUGCACAACGGUUGCGCCAAAAACGGUCCAAAAAUGGCCAAGGCUUUACCAUACGAAAAAUCGGCCGAUUUUUAACCAUGUGAGAAACGUCCCGAAAAUUCACAGAUAACUACUAGGAGGCCUCACUCUGAGUAAUAUCAAAGUUUUUCCCACAAGAACCGCUCGGAGAUGCCCGGACUCAGUUUUUAUUUUCGUCCCAAUACUUUUCUUCCAAUGGACUAGUUGUGUUUCUUUGAUCUUGUGCAACCUCUUUAGGCCGAUGAUAGCCCGCGGAUAGGUGUGGAAACCCAUCUAUAUUGCACCCAGUAUGACACAGAAAAAAAGCCCAGGGCCUAGGGGUCGGGUGGGGCUCGUUCGGGGUGCACAACGGUUGCGCCAAAAACGGUCCAAAAAUGGCCAAGGCUUUACCAUACCGAAAAUCGGCCGAUUUUUAACCAUGUGAGAAACGUCCCGAAAAUUCACAGAUAACUACUAGGAGGCCUCACUCUGAGUAAUAUCAAAGUUUUCUCCCACAAGAACCGCUCGGAGAUGCCCGA